UCUGAUUCUACUUCCUCCACAAGCUUCAGCAUGGCAGUAUCUCCCACCACUUGUUUUGGUCCAAGGGCAGAAAUGAGCAUCCUGGAAACCAAUCAGUACUUGUGCUCUGAACUGGAAAAGUGCAAAGAGAACUUCCUCGACCUCACAGAGAAAUUCCUGACAUCCAAAGCUACUGCCUACUCCCUGGCCAAUCACCUGCAGAAAUAUAGAUACGUGAUCCCUUGCUCAGGCUGAAGAACUGACCCACUUACAACAGAAGAUGCAGGAAGGGAGAAGUGUCUGCUACCUUUUCACCCAGCAUGUGAAGAACACAGUCAAGUCUUUUGGGGCCUUCUCAGGAACACUGGCAUUGCCUACUACCAGAGACAGAGAUUCUGUGAGCAAAUGGUACAAGGAAGCCAGCUGACAGAGAUCCUUGUCAGAAAACUUGCCACAGAGUGUUGCUCUCUUACCCAAGCUGGAGUGCAGUGACAUGAUCUUGGCUGACUGCAAUCUGUGCCUCCUGGGCUCAAACAAUCCUCCCACCUCAGCCUCCCAAGUAGCUGGGACUACAGAAUCACCCCCAAUUAUCACUAACAAACUGAGAAGAAAAAAAAAAGAACUCCCCCCAAGAACAUCUGAGGAAGCACAACAGGGACAGACUUGAAGGCACCUGGGCAGUCCUCUGGUUUUGCAGUAGAGAAAAUCACAAUGGUAAGAAAAAUGAAGACAGACAAAAGCCACUGGCUCCCAGGAUGCACCUCUAACCUCUACAGGCACAUCAUAGAUUCCAUUGCCCAGCUGUAUAAUGAAAACAGAGUUCUCAGAGAAUACCGGAGACUCCCCUGACUUGCCUGAAUCAAGUUUCCAGAGGCUGAAGAGGAGGAAAUACAGGAAUUAUUGGUCUUGCUGUUCAGGGUGGCAGAGGAGGAAGAAAAUCCCAGUCGUCUUGGAAAUGCACAGAAAGAAUAUGAAAAGCAGUUUGUCCUGUACAGUAUCUGCAAUCAGUUAUGAUACAGAAAUAACUUAGUUAAACAUGUCAAGAAAGAUGAAUGCAGAUAUUAUGAGGAAAUGCUAAAGUACAGCUGAGAUCAUCUCAUGCUGUACCCUUACCAUCUAUCGGAUAUUAUGGUGAAGGGCUUGAGGAUAACACCAUUUUCAUAUUAUACUGGGAUUAUGGAGAAUAUUAUGAACAGUGAGAAAAGUUAUGAUUCAUUGCCCAAUUUUACUGCUGCUGACUGUCUAAGGCUUCUUGGCAUAGGAAGAAACCAGUACAUUGAUCUUAUGAAUCAGUGUAGAUCAUCAAAAAAAUUCUUCAGAAGAAAAACAGCCCGUGAUCUUCUACCAAUAAAGCCAGUGGAAAUUGCCAUAGAGGCGUGGUGGGUGGUGCAGGCUGGACAUAUCACAGAAGAUGACAUCAAGAUAUGCACUUUGCCUGAGAAAUGUGCUAUUGAUAAGAUCAUCAAUUCAGGCCCUCAACUCUCUGGAUCACUGGAUUACCAUAUAGUAAAUAGUUUGUAUAACAAAGGAUUUAUUUAUCUGGAUGUACCAAUAUCUGAUGACAGUUGUAUAGCAGUUCCACCUCUUGAAGGUUUUGCAAUGAAUCGAGUGCAAGGUGAUUAUUUUGAAACUCUACUCUAUAUUUGUUUCAAUAGAUGAGCACAUAAAUGUGGCAGAGCUUGCAAAUGUCCUUGAGAUUGACUUAUCCCUGGUUAUGAAUGCUGUUUCAAUGUAUUGCUGAUUGGGCUUUGCCCAUAAGAAGGGUCAAGCAAUAAAUUUGGAUCAACUUCAUUCAUCAUGGAAGAAUGUUCCAUCUGUAAACAGAUUAAAGAAGACCUUAGAUCCACAGAAGAUGCUCUUGUCAGGGGAUGAAGGGGAAAGUAGCAGUCCUGUACAAGAAGCUUCAUCGGCAACUGAUACUGAUACAAAUAGUCAAGAAGAUCCAGCUGACACAGCCAGUGUAAGCAGGCUGAGUCUGUCUACAGGACACACGAAACGCAUCACAUUCCUGUUUGACUCACUCUUACUGCCUUCUUAAUGAUGGGAUAUCUUUCACCAGUUCAGAGCACUGGUGAAGGAGAAGCACAGAGAUAUUUUGAUCAUGCACUUACUCUGAGAAACACAAUACUGUUUCUGCAUCACAAUAAAGAUCUAGUUGUGCAAACUGCACAGCCAGACCUACCCAGUUAUGGUUUUCCUCUGGAUCUCUUAUACUGUGAAAGCCUUCUUGGUCUGGACCCUGCAACUUGCAGCAGAGUUCUAAACAAAAAUUACACACGGCUUGUUUCCAUGGCUCCUCUCACCAAUGAAAUCCAGCCUGUCAGCAGCUGCACCCCUCAGCAUAUUGGACCAGCUAUCCCAGAAGUCAGCUCUGUCUGGUUUAAACUGUACAUUUAUCAUAUCAUUGGACAAGGACCACCAUCCCUUUUAUUGUCCAAAGGUACAAGACUUCAAAAACUGCCAGAUAUAUUUCAGAGUUAUGAUUGAUUGCUAAUAACACCUUGGGGUCAUGAUCCUGGAGUAGUUCCUACCUCAAAUGUGCUCACGAUAUUGAAUGAUGCUUUAACACAUUCUGCAGUUUUAAUUCAGGGGCAUGGUCUGCAUGGGGUAGGAGAAACUGUCCAUGUCCCAUUUCCAUUUGAUGAAACAGAACUACAAGGAGAGUUCACUCAUGUCAAUAUGGGUGUUCAUAAAGCAUUGCAGAUACUAAGGAACAGUGGACUUACAACAUCUCUGCGGAAAUGUCAUCAUGUUGAAUGCUUCCAGCCAACUUGCAAAUGGAAAACUCAGUGAUGCUUCUGAUGAGAGAGGAGAACCUGAUUUGGCUUCUGGCUCAGAUGUAAAUGGGAGUACAGAGUCAUUUGAAAUGGUCAUUGAGGAAGCAGCUAUAGAUUCAGCAACAAAGCAAACCUCUGGUGCCACAACAGAAGCAGAUUGGGUUCCUCUCGAGCUGUGCUUUGGAAUUCCACUGUUCAGUUCCAAACUAACCUGGAAAGUUUGUAGGAAAAUUGCUACACAUGGCCUUUGCAGAAAUGAGAGGCUUCAAAACCUCUUACAUUCCAGAAGUCUCUCUGCAAGUCCUUAACUUUGUUCACUCAUUCCAGGAAGGUGCUUCAACAUUGGAUAUUCACACAGAACCCAGUGUUUCAAGUUUGCUUUCACAGUCAUCGUAGGCUGACAUGGGUGCUCCACUUUCUGCAAAAAACUUAAUAUUUAAAGAUGGUGUCUUAUCAGAAGGGAGUAGAUGGUCACCUUCCUCACCUCUUAUUGCUAAUCUCCAUUUGCAAUAAUUUGGUUACACCGUUUGUUGUUCACACUUUCUGCCUUUUUUCUUUCUUAAUGUUAGCUUUAUAGUGUCAGCCACUAAAAAGCAUCCUGCUGCUGUGGAGCAAUUCUUGCUUAACUAAUAUUAAAAGUUUGGGGAAGAUAUUCAUGUUUUCUGAAGUUUUGCUCAUUAUUGCACAUCUUAUUGCAACAACGUGCUUUUUAGCAGCCAGCACUGUAUUUUUUACCUUGAGACAAUCUACAUUUCUUUUAUAAAACUAAGUAUAUACUUCAUAGGUUUUAUGAUGACUGUUAUGUUUAUAAGCAAUCACUAUGAAAAUUGCAAUGGUAAUUUUAUAUGUUAGUUUAUCAAACAUAAAUCUUGUUUAAUUUUAUAUUUUGUUACCUAUAUUUUUGGGGAUCAAGGGAAGAGAUGGAACUCUUCCUCUGAAAAGGUGUCUUGGUACUUAAAGUAGUAAAACUAUAAAGCAAUAAACAUCCAGUAUUGAGAGAUGAUAUGAUAGGGCAUUAUGAAUUCCUAUGGGUGUCUAAAUUAUGUAUGUCAGUUGGACAUUGUAGAAGGUAUGUAAAUCAGCAUAGAUACGUAUAACUUAACCUUGAUUUAUAAGGUCUUAACUCAGAUUAUGACUAUUCAUUGACAUCUCAUGAGAAGCUUUAGAAAACUUUCUAUUGUUAAACACCAUUUAUAUGUGGACUUCUGUUGUCACUGACUUCAGGCUUUAUAUUUUCAUAGAGUCUUUAUGGAUAAAAUAGAAUUUAUUUUCCACUCUUGUAGCUAUAGCUGCUGCACAAUUUCACCCUGAUUUAUUUUUUUGUUUCUUAGCUUUGAUGUUUUCAAACCAAGGAUUGUGAUUUUAGGUUAGAAUUACAUAUUAGAAGCAUUAAGACUAUGUCUUUGGAUCAGAAUGCUUUAGUGAUAAACCUACUUUGAAGACAUACUCUUAAGCAAUCUGGAUCUUAAAUUUAUGUGAAUUUUUUUUAGAAAAUGAUAAAGAAAAAUGGAAUUACUUCAAAGCAUUUCUUGAGUCAUUGUUUCUUUUAGCAUCUCAAAUGUUAAUUAGAAUAAUUGGAAUCACUUUUUAGACUUUUCAAGUUACCUUCCUUGGGAAGUUUGUAUAGUGUUACAGUUUAGUUUAGCUCCUCUUAUAUGGUAAUGGUUUGCUAGUUUAAAACUGUAACCAAACAAACUGGUCAGACAACAUAGAUCUAAAACACUUAAAAUGUUAGAAAGCUUGGGAAUGUUAUAACCUAAGCGUUUUUGCUGACAACUUUUUGUUAUUUAUAGAUAUUUAUGUAUUUAACAUACCUACUUCUAAAACUUAACCACACAUUUCCUAAAACUUAACCAUACAUCCACUACCAUAGCCUAUCUAUAGAAUUGAAUAUUUUGGACCAUGUUAUCUGUGGCACAGUCAGUGCUGUGUUUGAGGUAAAUGCAGUAAUGGUUAGUUUUCUACUUUGUCUUAUAGAAGGUAGAAACCAUGUGUAUGUUAUGUUUGUCUAUGGAAGAAAAAAUACUAAUAUUAAAUAAUUUCUUAUGACUGUGAGUCACUCACUUAUUUUUUCCAGUAAUAGAUAUUGUACAUUCCUAGUGCCAUUAGGUAUGUAUGUAUGUAACUUUUACAGUUUUUCCGCUGAAAGUUGUAUUUUUUUUUUUAAAUCAGGGCUCUUUAAUCUCAUUUUAAUUUCCUUUGUUUGAAUGAACUGUAGUUAUUUUAUUUAUUCCUAUAUUAACCGUCUAAACCAACUGUAAUGACAUGUACACUAAUAAAGAAUUCAACAUUCGUAGUUUU
Molecule: long non-coding RNA, 5057 nt
Filed under: Pongo abelii (Sumatran orangutan)
Lineage: Eukaryota; Metazoa; Chordata; Mammalia; Primates; Hominidae
Description: lincRNA
Source: RNAcentral